CUAAGGCUCCAGAGGAAGCCACGGCUAACUCUGUGCCAGCAGCCGCGGUAAUACAGAGGCGGCAAGCGUUGUUCGGAAUUAUUGGGCGUAAAGAGCACGUAGGCGGCCUUGCAAGUCAGUUGUGAAAGCCUUCCGCUUAACGGAAGAAUGCCAGCUGAUACUACAGGGCUUGAGUACGGGAGGGGAGAGUGGAACUUCUGGUGGAGCGGUGAAAUGCGUAGAUAUCAGAAGGAACGCCGGCGGCGAAAGCGACUCUCUGGCCCGAAACUGACGCUGAGUGUGCGAAAGCUAGGGGAGCAAACGGGAUUAGAUACCCCGGUAGUCCUAGCCGCAAA
Molecule: ribosomal RNA, 335 nt
Filed under: uncultured Planctomycetales bacterium
Lineage: Bacteria; Pseudomonadati; Planctomycetota; Planctomycetia; Planctomycetales
Description: bacterial SSU rRNA
Rfam family: Bacterial small subunit ribosomal RNA
Source: RNAcentral